This 744-nucleotide long non-coding RNA is filed under the name Brassica rapa (field mustard). Its description in RNAcentral is "long non-coding RNA (BRAP_LNC002383)". The record is from RNAcentral. Lineage: Eukaryota; Viridiplantae; Streptophyta; Magnoliopsida; Brassicales; Brassicaceae.
ACCAAUCCAUCAUAGUGUGAGGUUGAUGUUGAUGUUAUAAUGAGUUUUAUAGGGACUUUCUUGAUGUAAAACUAUACAUUUUUAUUUUUUUUGUUUAAUAUGGUAUUUCCAUUUUAAUAUAAUUUACUACCAUUUUAAGAUAGAUGUACAUUUUAAGAUAGAUGCUUAAAUCUUAAUGUUCUUUUUCUAUUUUUUAAAAUGUUUAUUUCUAUUUCUUAAAUUUUUUUACGUAAUAUCUAUAUUUUAUAUUUUAAAAUAGAUAUUUAAAUCUUAAUGUACUUUUUCCAUUUUUUUCAAAUUGUGUAUUAACUUAUAUUAUAUAUUUUACAUUUUAAGAUAGAUGUUUAAUGCUUAAUGAACUUUUUCCAUUUUUUAAAAAAAAUUGUGUAUUUACUUAUUAUUAUAUAGAUAAUUCAUAUAUUAUAUAUUUACAUUAUCUACUUAUUAUUUAUUGAUAAUUCAUAUAUUAUAUAUUUAAUGCUUAAUGUUUAUUUCCACUUCAUGACUUUUUAUUUACUUAAUAUCUCUAUUUUACAUUUUAAGAUAGAUGUUUAAAUCUUAAUGUACGUUUUUCUUUUUUUUUUAAAUUGUAUAUUUCCAUUUGUUAUGCUUUCUAUUUACGUAAUAUCUAUAUUUAAAAUUUUAAGAUAUAUUUUUAAAUCUUAAUGCAAUUUUCCAUUUUUUAAUUUGGGUAUUUACUUAUAUUAUAUAUUUACUUAUGAUUUAUUUUUCUUUAUAUUGUGU